RNAcentral lists this non-coding RNA (22 nucleotides) under Arabidopsis thaliana (thale cress). The record is from RNAcentral. Lineage: Eukaryota; Viridiplantae; Streptophyta; Magnoliopsida; Brassicales; Brassicaceae.
GAUCCGGAGUGGCUAGUGAUUC